GCCUGGUUAUGUGGCGUGUGUGUGUGUGUGUGUGUGUGUGUGUGCGCGCGCACGUGUGCCUACACACAGCCACCC
RNAcentral lists this microRNA precursor (75 nucleotides) under Otolemur garnettii (small-eared galago). Its description in RNAcentral is "miRNA (ENSOGAG00000021030.2)". Lineage: Eukaryota; Metazoa; Chordata; Mammalia; Primates; Galagidae. The record is from RNAcentral.